RNAcentral lists this ribosomal RNA (274 nucleotides) under uncultured bacterium. RNAcentral's name for it is "partial 16S ribosomal RNA". It matches the Rfam family "Bacterial small subunit ribosomal RNA", at positions 523 to 796 of the family's 1533-position model. The record is from RNAcentral.
AUACAGAGGGUGCGAGCGUUAAUCGGAAUUACUGGGCGUAAAGCGCGCGUAGGCGGCUUAUUAAGUCAGAUGUGAAAUCCCCGGGCUCAACCUGGGAACUGCAUCUGAUACUGGUAAGCUAGAGUUUUGGAGAGGGAAGUAGAAUUUCAGGUGUAGCGGUGAAAUGCGUAGAGAUCUGAAGGAAUACCAGUGGCGAAGGCGACUUCCUGGCCAAAAACUGACGCUGAGGUGCGAAAGCGUGGGUAGCAAACGGGAUUAGAAACCCCGGUAGUCC